RNAcentral lists this ribosomal RNA (263 nucleotides) under uncultured bacterium. Its description in RNAcentral is "partial small subunit ribosomal RNA". It matches the Rfam family "Bacterial small subunit ribosomal RNA", at positions 26 to 285 of the family's 1533-position model. The record is from RNAcentral.
AGGACGAACGCUGGCGGCGUGCUUAACACAUGCAAGUCGAGCGAGGCCCUUUCCUUCGGGAAAGGUGCCCUAGCGGCGAACGGGUGAGUAACACGUGGGCAAUCUGCCCCUAGCACUGGGAUAACUCCGGGAAAACCGGGGCUAAUACCGGAUACGACCUCUGAGGGCAUCCUCCGGAGGUGCAAAGGAUUCUGGCUAGGGAUGAGCCCGCGGCCUAUCAGCUAGUUGGUGGGGUAAUGGCCCACCAAAGGCGACGACGGGUA